GUGGGGAAUUUUGGACAAUGGGCGCAAGCCUGAUCCAGCAAUGCCGCGUGCAGGACGAAGGCCUUCGGGUUGUAAACUGCUUUUGUACAGAACGAAAGGGCUCUGGAUAAUACCUGGGGCAGAUGACGGUACUGUAAGAAUAAGCACCGGCUAACUACGUGCCAGCAGCCGCGGUAAUACGUAGGGUGCGAGCGUUAAUCGGAAUUACUGGGCGUAAAGCGUGCGCAGGCGGUUUUGUAAGACCGAUGUGAAAUCCCCGGGCUCAACCUGGGAACUGCAUUGGUGACUGCAAGGCUGGAGUGCGGCAGAGGGGGAUGGAAUUCCGCGUGUAGCAGUGAAAUGCGUAGAUAUGCGGAGGAACACCGAUGGCGAAGGCAAUCCCCUGGGCCUGCACUGACGCUCAUGCACGAAAGCGUGGGGAGCAAACAGGAUUAGAAACCCGUGUAGUCC
This 450-nucleotide ribosomal RNA is filed under the name uncultured Comamonadaceae bacterium. RNAcentral's name for it is "bacterial SSU rRNA". It matches the Rfam family "Bacterial small subunit ribosomal RNA", at positions 354 to 796 of the family's 1533-position model. The record is from RNAcentral. Lineage: Bacteria; Pseudomonadati; Pseudomonadota; Betaproteobacteria; Burkholderiales; Comamonadaceae.